CGACAAGUAGCGAAGAGUGCCGAGCCGCUGUCGAGAAAAGCCGCUAUUGUUUUGUGGGAACCCGUACCGUAAACCGACACAGGUGGAUGAGGAGAGAAACCUAAGGCCGGCGGGAGAAGCAUUGUUAAGGAACUCGGCAAAAUGACCCCGUAACUUCGGGAGAAGGGGUGCCUACAAGAUUACUUGUAGGCCGCAGAGAACUGGCCCAAGCAACUGUUUAACAAAAACACAGGUUUAUGCAAAACCGAAAGGUGAAGUAUAUGAGCUGACGCCUGCCCGGUGCUGGAAGGUUACGAGGAGAUGUUAGAGCAAUCGAAGCAUUGAAUUUAAGCCCCAGUAAACGGCGGCCGUAACAAUAACGGUCCUAAGGUAGCGAAAUUCCUUGUCGGGUAAGUUCCGACCCGCACGAAAGGCGUAAUGAUUUGGGCACUGUCUCGACAAUGCACCCGGUGAAAUUGAAAUACCAGUGAAGAUGCUGGUUACCCGCGCCAGGACGGAAAGACCCCAUGGAGCUUUACUCCAGUUUGAUACUGGGAUUCGGUACUGCAUGCACAGGAUAGGUGGGAGACUAAGAAGCGAGGACUCCGGUUUUCGCAGAGUCGCUGUUGGGAUACCACCCCUGUGGUGCUGGAUUUCUAACCUGCGCCCGUGAUCCGGGCGGGGGACAUGUCAGGCGGGGAGUUUGACUGGGGCGGUCGCCUCCGAAAGGGUAUCGGAGGCGCUCAAAGGUUCCCUCAGAAUGGUUGGAAACCAUUCGAAGGGUGUAAAGGCAGAAGGGAGCUUGACUGUGACACCGACGGGUGGAACAGGUACGAAAGUAGGACUUAGUGAUCCGGUGGCAUAAAGUGGGAUUGCCAUCGCUCAACGGAUAAAAGCUACCCUGGGGAUAACAGGCUUAUCACUCCCAAGAGUUCACAUCGACGGAGUGGUUUGGCACCUCGAUGUCGGCUCAUCGCAUCCUGGGGCUGUAGCAGGUCCCAAGGGUUGGGCUGUUCGCCCAUUAAAGCGGUACGCGAGCUGGGUUCAGAACGUCGUGAGACAGUUCGGUCCCUAUCCGGCGUGGGCGGAGGAUAUUUGAGAGGAGCUGUCCUUAGUACGAGAGGACCGGGAUGGACGAACCUCUGGUGUAUCUGUUGGGCCGCCAGGCCCAUGGCAGAGUAGCCAAGUUUGGACGGGAUAAACGCUGAAGGCAUCUAAGCGUGAAGCCCCCCUCAAGAUGAGAUAUCCCUGCUUAGGCAGUAAGACCCCUUAUAGACGAUAAGGUAGAUAGGUUGGAGGUGGAAGAGCGGCAACGCUUGCAGCUGACCAAUACUAAUAGGUCGAGGGCUUGACC
Molecule: ribosomal RNA, 1333 nt
Filed under: metagenome
Description: bacterial LSU rRNA
Rfam family: Bacterial large subunit ribosomal RNA
Source: RNAcentral